CGGCGGACGGGUGAGUAAUGUCUGGGAAACUGCCUGAUGGAGGGGGAUAACUACUGGAAACGGUAGCUAAUACCGCAUAACGUCGUAAGACCAAAGAGGGGGACCUUCGGGCCUCUUGCCAUCAGAUGUGCCCAGAUGGGAUUAGCUAGUAGGUGGGGUAACGGCUCACCUAGGCGACGAUCCCUAGCUGGUCUGAGAGGAUGACCAGCCACACUGGAACUGAGACACGGUCCAGACUCCUACGGGAGGCAGCAUG
This 256-nucleotide ribosomal RNA is filed under the name uncultured bacterium. RNAcentral's name for it is "partial 16S ribosomal RNA". It matches the Rfam family "Bacterial small subunit ribosomal RNA", at positions 96 to 353 of the family's 1533-position model. The record is from RNAcentral.